This 250-nucleotide ribosomal RNA is filed under the name uncultured bacterium. Its description in RNAcentral is "partial 16S ribosomal RNA". It matches the Rfam family "Bacterial small subunit ribosomal RNA", at positions 355 to 622 of the family's 1533-position model. The record is from RNAcentral.
UGGGGAAUAUUGGACAAUGGGCGCAAGCCUGAUCCAGCCAUGCCGCGUGAGUGAUGAAGGCCUUAGGGUUGUAAAGCUCUUUCAGUGGGGACGAUAAUGACGGUACCCACAGAAGAAGCCCCGGCUAACUUCGUGCCAGCAGCCGCGGUAAUACGAAGGGGGCUAGCGUUGUUCGGAUUUACUGGGCGUAAAGCGCACGUAGGCGGAUCGUUAAGUCGGGGGUGAAAUCCUGGAGCUCAACUCCAGAACU